Molecule: long non-coding RNA, 649 nt
Organism: Anneissia japonica
Lineage: Eukaryota; Metazoa; Echinodermata; Crinoidea; Comatulida; Comatulidae
Exons: 3
Source: RefSeq, a predicted model, not a curated record
AGAAAAACAAUAAUGAUUUUUUUUUAUACCACUCCAGGUGGCAUUUUACAUAUAAGCAAUACUGAAUGGAGUUGACAGACUACGAAGGAGACUUUACAAUAAAUAACAAAUCUCAUUACAGACAGUUAUUUAAAUUGGACCUCAUUUGGAAAUGGUUGGACUCCGGCUAAUGGACGUUCCUGUUGCUCAUUACGUGAUGUAGACAAAGAAGCCACAACUAUCAUGAAAUAAUGUCCGGACUGAAAGGGCAACAGAACUUACCAAUUAAUCAUGGAUAGCCACAAAUUGUGUCACUCAUCAAGCUUCUGGAUAUAAAAUUAAUUAAAAUAUAUUGUGAAUUUUAUUUUUUUAAAUGUUUUCCUCUGCAAAAGUCUCAAAAAUAAUGUUAGCAAUAUGUAUUAAUUCUGUAGGCUGUAUGUUUAUUAAUAUUGUACUAUUACUGCUAAUGUUUAUCUUAUUAAUAAAAUAACCCGUUUGUUGUAAAGAAUAUAGACAUGUAAGAAAAUAAGAUAUAACAUUUUAAAGGAUUAGAAUCAGGUCUAUUGGUUUUUGGCGGAUGUACAUGAUAUGGACCUAUAGUAUAUAAAUAUAAAAUGUAUGCAAAUAUCCCAACUUAAUUUCAAUGCUUGAAAAUAAAUAUCAAAUGGAA